RNAcentral lists this transfer RNA (77 nucleotides) under Siphoviridae sp. ctXPH7. RNAcentral's name for it is "tRNA-Asn". It matches the Rfam family "tRNA". From Rfam's summary of the family: Transfer RNA (tRNA) molecules are approximately 80 nucleotides in length. Their secondary structure includes four short double-helical elements and three loops (D, anti-codon, and T loops). Further hydrogen bonds mediate the characteristic L-shaped molecular structure. tRNAs have two regions of fundamental functional importance: the anti-codon, which is responsible for specific mRNA codon recognition, and the 3' end, to which the tRNAs corresponding amino acid is attached (by aminoacyl-tRNA synthetases). tRNAs cope with the degeneracy of the genetic code in two manners: having more than one tRNA (with a specific anti-codon) for a particular amino acid; and 'wobble' base-pairing, i.e. permitting non-standard base-pairing at the 3rd anti-codon position. Lineage: Duplodnaviria; Heunggongvirae; Uroviricota; Caudoviricetes. The record is from RNAcentral.
GUUCCGGUAGCUCAACUGGUAGAGCAGCAGCCUAUUGAAGCAGCAAGUAGUUGGUUCAAAUCCAUCCCGGAACACCA